UUAUUACCAUUAUCCUGGCCCUGAUAAAAAGUACAAUGACAAUAUCAAAAGUCUCCCAUUGCUGGGAGACGUUUUGAUCAGUU
Molecule: small RNA, 83 nt
Organism: Salmonella enterica subsp. enterica serovar Typhimurium
Lineage: Bacteria; Pseudomonadati; Pseudomonadota; Gammaproteobacteria; Enterobacterales; Enterobacteriaceae
Rfam family: Enterobacterial sRNA STnc230
Source: Rfam